ACGCAGACAUCCGUUGUUGAAAAAUGAGAUUCCAAUGUGGAGGGAGAAGAAAGAGCCGUGAGAUUACAUUGGCUCCCUUCACGUUUUUGUGUCGAUCUGUGCGGACGCCUGUACUCGGGAAGAAAGGCAAAGCGCGCGCGCCGUUACAAUAGCACCUCUAUUUCCGCAAAACGCUGAUAUUCCUUCAUUUAUUCACUGACGUCAAAGGUACUGUUUCAAUACUCUGCCCAUAUAAGCUUGAGUAUAGAGCUCUGGAGAUAAGUUAAACCGUGAGGAGGUACCUGCGUACCGUACCAACUGAGCCAAACAGUGCAGCACGAACUUUACGGAAGACAGUCACAGAUAUGAAACAAAGGACAUAUUGCAAGUCGCAAUUAAUUGCUAUUUUAGUAGCAUUUCUACUUCACGCGGCAAUUGUAGCAGGGCGGCCUUCCACGCAUCUGAAAACAGUAUAUGCCAAACUUCUAGACGAUUCCAGACGACAAGACCAUUGGCCUGCUUCACAGCAGGAAUCAGACAAGAUGCUAAGAGUACGAGGUAUCGCUCAACUUUCGCCGAACGAAAUCAAGAAACUUCUUCCGUGUUACCCGAUGUGUCUUCCGAGUGAUCUCGAUUACCAGUCGGGAGGUAAACGAGGAGUGGUCGGUUUUCUGAGAGUGAAGUCCACGCCGGAAGUAUCAAGAGAGGAGUGGUAGUGAUAAAACCAGGCUGAACUCACUAUCGGUGCUAUUACUCCAGUUUGCUGUAAAAAGAAGCUUAUUUUACUGAAAUGAAUAGUUUAAAUGAAAUGAAAUAUCUUGCUUUUCAA
Nematostella vectensis (starlet sea anemone) is the source of this 808-nucleotide long non-coding RNA. RefSeq lists it as uncharacterized. Lineage: Eukaryota; Metazoa; Cnidaria; Anthozoa; Actiniaria; Edwardsiidae. The transcript has 2 exons. The record is from RefSeq and is a predicted model, not a curated record.